Molecule: ribosomal RNA, 253 nt
Filed under: uncultured bacterium
Lineage: Bacteria
Description: partial 16S ribosomal RNA
Rfam family: Bacterial small subunit ribosomal RNA
Source: RNAcentral
UACAGAGGUCCCAAGCGUUGUUCGGAUUCAUUGGGCGUAAAGGGUGCGUAGGCGGCGCGGUAAGUCGGGUGUGAAAUCUCGGGGCUUAACUCCGAAACUGCAUUCGAUACUGCCGUGCUUGAGGACUGGAGAGGAGACUGGAAUUUACGGUGUAGCGGUGAAAUGCGUAGAUAUCGUGAGGAAGACCAGUGGCGAAGGCGGGUCUCUGGACAGUUCCUGACGCUGAGGCACGAAGGCCAGGGGAGCAAACGGG